UACGGAGGGUGCAAGCGUUGUUCGGAAUUAUUGGGCGUAAAGGGCGUGUAGGCGGUUUUCUAAGUCUGAUGUGAAAGCCCUCGGCUCACCCGAGGAUCUGCAUCUCAAACUGCCUGGCUUGAGUAUGGGAGAGGAUGAGGGAAUUCCUGGUGUAGCGGUGAAAUGCGUAGAUAUCAGGAGGAACACCGGUGGCGAAGGCGCUCAUCUGGCCCAAUACUGACGCUGAGGCGCGAAAGCUAGGGGAGCAAACGGG
Molecule: ribosomal RNA, 253 nt
Filed under: uncultured bacterium
Lineage: Bacteria
Description: partial 16S ribosomal RNA
Rfam family: Bacterial small subunit ribosomal RNA
Source: RNAcentral